UACGGAAGGCAGCAGUGGGGAAUAUUGCACAAUGGGCGAAAGCCUGAUGCAGCUAUACCGCGUGUAUGAAGAAGGCCUUAGGGUUGUAAAGUACUUUCAUCGGGGAGGAAAAAACAAAACUAAUAAUUUUAUUUCUUGACGUUACCCGAAAAAGAAGCACCGGCUAACUCCGUGCCAGCAGCCGCGGUAAUACGGAGGGUGCUAGCGUUAAUCAGAAUUACUGGGCGUAAAGAGCACGUAGGUGGUUUUUUUAAAGUCAGAUGUGAAAUCCCCUGGGCUUUAACCUAGGAACUGCAUUUUGAAACUGAAAUACUAGAGUAUCGUAGAGGGAGGUAGAAUUCUAGGUGUAGCGGUGAAAUGCGUAGAUAUCUGGAGGAAUACCUGUGGCGAAAGCGGCCUCCUAAACGAAUACUGACACUGAGGUGCGAAAGCGUGGGGAGCAAACAGGGAUUAGAUACC
This 459-nucleotide ribosomal RNA is filed under the name uncultured bacterium. Its description in RNAcentral is "bacterial SSU rRNA". It matches the Rfam family "Bacterial small subunit ribosomal RNA", at positions 340 to 786 of the family's 1533-position model. The record is from RNAcentral.